This is a long non-coding RNA of Oncorhynchus tshawytscha (Chinook salmon), 3552 nucleotides long. RefSeq lists it as uncharacterized. The transcript has 5 exons. The record is from RefSeq and is a predicted model, not a curated record. NCBI's taxonomy places the organism in Eukaryota, Metazoa, Chordata, Actinopteri, Salmoniformes, Salmonidae.
UUCUGAAUGUCAAUUGUGCUUGGAACAUUUCAACAGACUUUGUCUUGAUCUUUCUCCUCUGGAAUGGCCAUGAGGCAAGUAACGUUAUAGGUAUUCACGUAUUCAGAUGUUCCUGAGUACUGGACAGACCAUAUUUUCCAGAAUACAUUGACACGGAUCACUUUCGCUACAACAGAACAGAAACGUCAGGCUAUGGGUCCUGUUGGAGGGCCCCUGAUAUCCGUAAGCUAACAUUGCCUUUUGGAAUCCCUGCUACUGUGGCUGAGCUUGGCACAAUUGUGCAAGAGACAUUUCAGCUUCAAAAAUAAUUUGUUCUACAAUACAUGGAGAGUGCAUAUGGAGAUCAGUUAUUUUCUUUGCUUGAUACUGAAGACCUAAAGGAUAAAGACACCAUCAAAGUGCUUGACCUUGACGGCCCACCUCUUAUUACUUUAAAUGUACAAGAACUCAAUAACAUCUCCACAGAUACAUCAGAUGAGAGGUGCUGCCUUGGAUCACGUGAUACUGUGAUAUUGUCCUCUUCAGAAAGUACCUCUUCCCAACGCUCCAGUCCGUGGCCAUCUGAGUUUGAAGUUCCCCGCUUUGCUUAUGAUACAGAGCUCAUUCUUGGGGUAGCUAAUGAAGCACACAUGAAGGAUGGAACACUACUCAACAAUCUGCCUGUGAAAUCAGACAUCCUGGAAAAACUGUCUGAAAGGAUCUUCCAGUUUACAGCCUAUCUGUCAACGCUACAAAUUUGGCAGGUUGCAGAAGCUUUGGUAAAAAAGCACCCAUGUGUUAAAGAGCUUGGGUCCUUCUCAGGCCUGUACGGAUGGCAAACCAGCCUAAAGUACAAGAUGGGCAAUUACAGAUCGAAACUGAGAGGAAUUGGUUGCCUAGAACUGGAAGUGAACUCUGUCAAGAGAAAAUCACCAGAGGACAAGCCCGUUGCCAAGAACAUAAACAAAACAAAGAAGGCGGAGGUAAAUUACCUCCCACCCUGCUGGAGAAACAGAUGAGACCCUGUAGAGGGAGCGAGUGGAGCUACUGGGAGAAGUACAAAUACGUGACAACCACAACAUUGUGAGUGCCAAAAUGGCAAAGACCUUCUCAUAUCGAAGACAAGAUGUCAUUCAGGCUCUUCCUGUGAAGGACUUAAAAGAUAGAUAACCAGCCUUGUUUGAACCCAUUCAGAUUAAGGAAGACUUCAGAAGAAUUACAACUGUUGCUCUUGAGUCCACCUUUAUCCAGAAGCUGGACGAAUAUACACCAAAACUAUUGGACUUGUUUAAGACAAAAGGAGGUGCUGUAAAGGAGGACAUGCAGAAAAUCCUUGGAAGUUCUGUAUGGGUGCAACACCAGCCAGGAAAGAAGAGACAGUGUAAUCCGUGACCUGAUCAUAUACCUCUGUGAGAGGGUUGAAGAACUUAUCACAGAAUACAAGGUAAAGUUUUUUAUUUUUGUAUCCUUAUUUAUCUCUAAAUGAGAUCUUCCCUCUCUCUCCUCUCAAGUUGCACAGUUAAUCUAGUAGCCUAGUCUGUUAUUUUUUUCAUUCCGGAUGCUGACGACACCAUGAUCCGAGAGAACCUUGUUCAGCAUGUGAUGAAGGUGUUCACUGUGAAGGAUCUGGACCAGAAUAUAGAGCAUGGGAUCUGGACCAGAAUAUAGAGCAUGGGAUCUGCAUCGAAGGAGCAGAGGUCCUGGCUGGUAUUCGCAGUGUUACACAGUCAUGUACCUUGCUUAUGGGCCUCAUCUAUGGCUAAAAUCUAAAGUACCCCAAAGAACUGAAGUAUACCUUUGAGGUGUUCCAAAAACUAUUCUUGGAACUUGAUGAUCUCAGGACCUCCCCACGCGUCCAAGCUCUAAAGAUGAAGUUACUUGUUUUCAGAGAUAUCUAAAGAUACCUAUGAGAACUCUCAAAGGGCCACACAUACUGUGGUCUAAACCCUACUCAGUAAGCUGAAAAGCUAGUUGCUAGGUGGUAUAGGAGCUACAGUUCACAUGAUGCUCUUUGUCAGGUGAAGUCAUAAAAGACAUUGUCAAUUCCUGUUUAAAAAAACAGCUUUGUUUUAAAACUUAGUCAUAUGCACUAGUGGAUAUCUGAGAUUAUUUGUCAGGUGCAAGCUAUAUGGAUGUAACUUUACCUAAGGAGGCAUGGUGGAGUUAUUCCCAGAAUGCUUAUACCUGUCAAAAAUAUGUCCAUAUGGGCUUCACUAGUGCAUAUGGAGUCAGGUUUAAGGGAGAAUUUGGCAUAUAUUUUGUAACAAUAUGUGCAAUGUAUGUUUUGAAAACCCAUGUUUUGGUUAAUCUAAAACCGUUUGAAUGAGGUUGUAUUUGAGCUAAAGUUCAUAUUGUGUUUUGUGUAAAGUCUAUUAAGACAAAUCGAUAAUUUAUGUUUCUGUUAAAAUAUUUAUUUGUUGUUAAGGGGCACACAGACCACCAGAAUUUUUUUUCCAAACUGUACAAGAUGUGAGGUCAAAGUGCUAAUCCCAAACUAUCACCUAAACUUUAUGCAGUUGUGAAGAUUUAAAAGUAUUUGUAGUCAGGUGCAAGCUAUCUGGAUGUAACUUUACCUAAUGAGGCAAGGUGUAGUUAUACUCAGAAUGCUUACAGAUGACAAAAUAUGAUUGCUUAAAGAGUAGGGUUUAAGGGACAAUUUGAGAUUGAAGUUUGAAGAAAUUAUAAAAUUAUAAUAUUUAUUUUAUUCAAAAUAAAGAUGUGGAAGUUUGAAGUUGAACACUUGUUUCUUUUGCAUAUUCCCUUAUAUAGAAAUACUACUUUUUUGUAAAUUAUCCUAAAUAUGUUGAGGUAACUAUUUGCAUCAGCUUUUUAAGUAUAGUUGUGAGUAUAUAUUUGAGUAGUAGGACCCCAAUUUAAAUACAUUUUACUAACCUGAGUACCAUAAGUAACUGAGUAAAAUACAUUUGUUGAUAAAACAUAGAAUAUCAAUUACGAUACUGAGUAAAUUCAGGAAAUUAAACGUACAAUAUUAGUUAUGUAACUGAUUACAUUAAGUAUAUUAGACUUAUAACAUUAGUUCUGGGACUUGAAGGAUUUAAGCAGGUCAACAACAACAAAAAUGUUCUGAACCUGAUAAAAUUAAGUUGAAUGAAAGGAAUUUUUGAGAUCCAGUUAGUAGAUUGCACUUCAUAUAUUUGAGUUUGUAAUACACUUAAAGCGAAGUGUAUUAUACUUAAAAUAUCCUCCUUGUUGGAUUUACUUAAAAACCUGAUGCAAAUAGUUACCAAAAAUGUUUUAAAAGGGGCACAAUAUUUUUUACAGUGAAUGUUUGUAUCAUGUUUUUGUGCUGCUACCAUAUUGUGUUGCUACCAUGUUGUUGUCAUGUUGUGUUGCUACCAAGAUGUGUUAUGUGUUGCUGCCUUGUUAUGUUGUCUUAGGUGUCUCUCUUGUUGUGAUGUGUUUUUUGUCCUAUAUCUAUAUUGCAUUAAUUUUUUAAAAUCCCAGGCCCUGUCCCCGCAGUAGGCCUUUUGUCUUUUGGUUUGCCGUCAUUGUAAAUAAGAAUUUGUUCUUUUAACUGACUUGCCUAGUUAAAUAAAGGUUAAAUAAAUAAAA